CAGGAUAUUGUCCUGUGUGGUUAGGAAAGGCCUCUUUGAGAAGCUGGCAUUUAAGCUUCCAGGUGUCAACCUAGAAGAUAAGGAACCCGCCGCGGGGAAAAGAGAAGGAAGAGGAUUCCAGAGGAUGGAACAGCAGACGUGGAGGCCUCCAGGCAGAAGAGAUUCUGGCAUGUUCUAGGAACCAAGAGACCCAUGUGUCUGACACAUUCUGACACGCACUCCUGCCAUGAUGCACUGCCCUUGCCAGAGACCCAAAGAAUUAGGUCAGCGCAGUCUUGGACCAGAACCUCCAGAACCAAGAGCCAGCAUCAACCUUUCCUGUUGAUGGUUCAUUGUCUCAGAGAGAGAAGAUGGUUCCAGUUUUUGUAGCCACAGAGCAUGAAGAGAACUUUUGUAAGCCAGUUUUUCUUCCUUUUUGCUGUCCUCAUCUUCUCUCUAAGCAAAAGUGGAAACCAGUGAUAGAUCCUGGCUUUCCCUGGGCGCCCUUGCCUGCCCCUCCUUUUGGAAGAGCCUCAGCUUCGUGUCCUGGCAUGCAGGAGAAACUGGUUCUACACACCCAAGGGGAACAUGACAGCUUUUCACAGCAAGUUGCUCAGCUCAUAAACAGCAAGAAGAAGCGUUCACACACAUCCAGACCUGCCUCUCUCAAAAUGCCUGUGCCGCCAGCAUGGCAGGAGAAUCUUCAGGAAACAUUAGCCACACUUUACAUAACUUUCUGUAAAGUGGCUUAGUAAUGUUUACAGCCUAAACAGCUCGCAGGUGGCAACCGUGCCUCACGAAUGCCAACAAGGGAAGGGCCAGCUCACCUGCACAGCCCUUUCUUCCUCCUGAGUGGCCCUGGGAGGCAGGAAGAAGGAGCGGGGUGAACUUUCCUAAAGAAUGAAGUGUCCAGAAACCUGGCACAGGGCCUGUAAUUUGGUGCCUAGAGGAAAGAAAGACAACUGCUUUUCCUGGAACUUGCUCUCAAUUUCACACCCCUUUUUGCUCUAAAUUUUGCACCCCAGUCUGU
Molecule: long non-coding RNA, 1009 nt
Organism: Sciurus carolinensis (gray squirrel)
Lineage: Eukaryota; Metazoa; Chordata; Mammalia; Rodentia; Sciuridae
Exons: 3
Source: RefSeq, a predicted model, not a curated record